AUACGGAAGGUCCGGGCGUUAUCCGGAUUUAUUGGGUUUAAAGGGAGCGCAGGCGGAGAUGCAAGCGUGACGUCAAAUUUCGGGGCUCAACCCCGUCUCGCGUCGCGAACUGCGUCCCUUGGUUGCGGGAAGGGGAGGCGGAACUCGUGGUGUAGCGGUGAAAUGCAUAGAUAUCACGAAGAACUCCGAUCGCGAAGGCAGCCUUCCGGCCCGUCAACGACGCUCAUGCUCGAAGGUGCGGGUAUCAAACAGGAUUAGAUACCCUGGUAGUCCGCACAGUAAACGAUGGACACCCGCGGUUUGGCCUGUAUGGCUGAGCCGCCAAGCGCAAGCGUUAAGUGUCACACCUGGGGAGUACGCCGGCAACGGUGAAACUCAAAGGAAUUGACGGGG
This 393-nucleotide ribosomal RNA is filed under the name uncultured bacterium. RNAcentral describes it as "partial 16S ribosomal RNA". It matches the Rfam family "Bacterial small subunit ribosomal RNA", at positions 523 to 918 of the family's 1533-position model. The record is from RNAcentral.